AACGCUACGCGGCUAAUACCUGCAAGUCGAACGGUGUCUUCGGACAUAGUGGCGCACGUGGUGCGUAACACGUAUGCAACGUACCUUACAUUGGGGGAUAGCCUUUCGAAAGGGAGAUUAAUACCGCAUAAGACAGUAGCUGGGCAUCCAGCAGCUGUUAAAGAUUUAUCGAUGUAAGCUGGGCAUGCGUCCAAUUAGCUAGUUGGUGAGGUAAUGGCUCACCAAGGCAAUGAUUGGUAGGGGAACUGAGAGGUCAAUCCCCCACACUGGCACUGAGAUACGGGCCAGACUCCUACGGGAGGCAGCAGUAGGGAAUAUUGGGCAAUGGACGCAAGUCUGACCCAGCCAUGCCGCGUGCAGGAUGAAGGCGUUAUGCGUUGUAAACUGCUUUUAUACAGGAAGAAACGACUCUUGCGAGAGGCAUUGACGGUACUGUAUGAAUAAGCACCGGCUAACUCCGUGCCAGCAGCCGCGGUAAUACGGAGGGUGCAAGCGUUGUCCGGAUUUAUUGGGUUUAAAGGGUGCGCAGGUGGUUUAUUAAGUCAGUGGUGAAAGACGGUCGCUCAACGAUUGCAGUGCCAUUGAAACUGGUAGACUUGAGUAAAGUAGAGGUGGGCGGAAUUGAUAGUGUAGCGGUGAAAUGCAUAGAUAUUAUCAAGAACUCCAAUUGCGUAGGCAGCUCACUUGGCUUUUACUGACACUCAUGCACGAAAGUGUGGGUAUCAAACAGGAUUAGAUACCCUGGUAGUCCA
RNAcentral lists this ribosomal RNA (752 nucleotides) under uncultured Bacteroidota bacterium. RNAcentral describes it as "bacterial SSU rRNA". It matches the Rfam family "Bacterial small subunit ribosomal RNA", at positions 32 to 797 of the family's 1533-position model. Lineage: Bacteria; Pseudomonadati; Bacteroidota. The record is from RNAcentral.